GGACUACAAGGGUAUCUAAUCCUGUUUGCUCCCCACGCUUUCGUGCCUGAGCGUCAGUGUCAGCCCAGGGGGCUGCCUUCGCCAUCGGUGUUCCUCCACAUCUCUACGCAUUUCACUGCUACACGUGGAAUUCCACCCCCCUCUGCCACACUCCAGCUCGCCAGUUUCCACUGCCAUUCCCAGGUUGAGCCCGGGGCUUUCACAGCAGACACAACGAACCGCCUGCGCACGCUUUACGCCCAGUAAUUCCGAUUAACGCUCGCACCCUACGUAUUACCGCGGCUGCUGGCAC
RNAcentral lists this ribosomal RNA (292 nucleotides) under uncultured bacterium. RNAcentral describes it as "partial 16S ribosomal RNA". The record is from RNAcentral. RNAcentral also lists the same sequence under 1 other name.